AGAGUUUGAUCCUGGCUCAGGACGAACGCUGGCGGCGUGCUUAACACAUGCAAGUCGAACGGAAAGGCCCUUCGGGGUACUCGAGUGGCGAACGGGUGAGUAACACGUGGGUAACCUGCCCUCAGCUUCGGGAUAACUCCGGGAAACCGGGGCUAAUACUGGAUAUUCAUUGUCUGCCGCAUGGUGGGUGGUGGAAAGUUUUUCGGCUGGGGAUGGGCCCGCGGCCUAUCAGCUUGUUGGUGGGGUGAUGGCCUACCAAGGCGUCGACGGGUAGCCGGCCUGAGAGGGCGACCGGCCACACUGGGACUGAGACACGGCCCAGACUCCUACGGGAGGCAGCAGUGGGGAAUAUUGCGCAAUGGGCGGAAGCCUGACGCAGCGACGCCGC
Molecule: ribosomal RNA, 388 nt
Filed under: uncultured bacterium
Lineage: Bacteria
Description: bacterial SSU rRNA
Rfam family: Bacterial small subunit ribosomal RNA
Source: RNAcentral